AUGUACAGACUAAGUUUGUCCUGUUAAAGUAGGACUUAUUUUACCUAACAUUUAUUAUUGGGGAGUUUUAUUUUUUUUAUACGAUUAUUGUGACAACUGCAACCUUAAUAUGGGAGGUAUUAAAUCUAAAUUUCCAGUGAAAAAGAGCAUUUAUAAUACAAGAAGACCAAAUGAAACUGUCCGGUUUGCUGGAUAUCUUCAGGAA
This is a long non-coding RNA of Ruditapes philippinarum (Manila clam), 205 nucleotides long. RefSeq lists it as uncharacterized. The record is from RefSeq and is a predicted model, not a curated record. The transcript is spliced from 3 exons. NCBI's taxonomy places the organism in Eukaryota, Metazoa, Mollusca, Bivalvia, Venerida, Veneridae.